RNAcentral lists this long non-coding RNA (522 nucleotides) under Brassica napus (rape). Its description in RNAcentral is "long non-coding RNA (BNAP_LNC021313)". Lineage: Eukaryota; Viridiplantae; Streptophyta; Magnoliopsida; Brassicales; Brassicaceae. The record is from RNAcentral.
UUCUCCCCCCCCCUUAAUAGAAUUCGUCCUCGAAUUCUUAGUUGCGCAAUUGCUUAGCUUCACGAAAUGUUCCUCCUUGAUGUGUAGUGAUGAUGUUCAGCUUUUGAAUAACUUCGUCUUGCGGUCUUGGUCAUAAGAUAUGGUUCUUUGCUGGCUCCCCUUUCUCUCGGUUUCUUUAGGUCUCCAUGAACACUUUGGAUUUUGAACUUGCUCCACCUUGAUAACAACUCCUCCAUAACUCCUAGUUACAUAACUUUGUCUUGAUCACUAGAUGUGCUUCUUUAUCGGUUGGCCUUAGAUAUCUCCCCUUGAUUUCUUCAGUCUUCUUCUAGAUUUUCUGAUUCUGAACUCGCUCCAUCUUAAUCCAUCUCCAUGCAUUUCCUCGGUCUUGAAUCCUUUCAUUUCUUCACUUCUUGAUUUCUCAUGCUUCACUUAAUCUCAACUCGUCUUCAUAACUCUUUACUUUGUUUGGCCAUGUCCCUUUGUGUAUACUGUCUAAAGUCGCCAUAAUCGUCUUCAUAU